GCGUGUGUGAAGAAGGCCCGAGGGUUGUAAAGCACUUUCAAUGGGGAGGAAAAAGCUAAGGUUAAUACCCUUAUAAUUGACAUUACCCAUACAAGAAGCACCGGCUAACUCCGUGCCAGCAGCCGCGGUAAUACGGAGGGUGCGAGCGUUAAUCGGAAUUACUGGGCGUAAAGCGUGCGUAGGCGGCGCGUUAAGCCAGGUGUGAAAGCCCCGGGCUCAACCUGGGAACUGCACUUGGGACUGGCGUGCUAGAGUUUGGGAGAGGGGAGCGGAAUUCCGGGUGUAGCGGUGAAAUGCGU
This 299-nucleotide ribosomal RNA is filed under the name uncultured bacterium. RNAcentral's name for it is "partial 16S ribosomal RNA". It matches the Rfam family "Bacterial small subunit ribosomal RNA", at positions 399 to 691 of the family's 1533-position model. The record is from RNAcentral.